UAGCUCAGUGGUAGAGCAUGUGCUUAGCAUGCACGGAGCCCUGGGUUCAAUCCCUAG
This 57-nucleotide transfer RNA is filed under the name Fukomys damarensis (Damara mole-rat). It matches the Rfam family "tRNA", at positions 8 to 63 of the family's 71-position model. From Rfam's summary of the family: Transfer RNA (tRNA) molecules are approximately 80 nucleotides in length. Their secondary structure includes four short double-helical elements and three loops (D, anti-codon, and T loops). The record is from Rfam by way of RNAcentral. Lineage: Eukaryota; Metazoa; Chordata; Mammalia; Rodentia; Bathyergidae.